UGCAAGUCGAACGAAUCCCCAAGGGGUAACUUUUGGGGGGAAGUGGCGAAAGGGGCGGUAAGGCGUGGGUAACCUACCCCGGGGACCGGGAUAGCCACCCUAACGGGUGGGUAAUACCGGACGAAAUGGCGAGAUCGCCUGGUCUUGCCAUGAAACGAGUUUCGCCUCGGGAGGGGCUCACGUGGUAUUAGCUAGUUGGUGGGGUAACGGCCUACCAAGGCAAAGAUGCCUAGCAGGUGUGAGAGCACGACCUGCGCCACUGGCACUGAGACACUGGCCAGACUCCUACGGGAGGCUGCAGUCGAGGAUCUUCGGCAAUGGGCGCAAGCCUGACCGAGCGACGCCGCGUGCGCGAUGAAGGCCUUCGGGUUGUAAAGCGCUGUCGAGGGGGAGGAAAGCCCGCAAGGGUCUGACCUAUCCCUGGAGGAAGCACGGGCUAAGUUCGUGCCAGCAGCCGCGGUAAGACGAACCGUGCAAACGUUGUUCGGAAUCACUGGGCUUAAAGGGCGCGUAGGCGGGCGGCCAAGUCAGGGGUGAAAUCUUUCGGCUCAACCGGAAAAUUGCCUUUGAAACUGGCUGUCUCGAGGGAGGUAGGGGCAUGUGGAACUUCCGGUGGAGCGGUGAAAUGCG
This 630-nucleotide ribosomal RNA is filed under the name uncultured Planctomycetota bacterium. RNAcentral's name for it is "bacterial SSU rRNA". It matches the Rfam family "Bacterial small subunit ribosomal RNA", at positions 56 to 690 of the family's 1533-position model. The record is from RNAcentral. Lineage: Bacteria; Pseudomonadati; Planctomycetota.